AUGGAGUACAGGCAGACAAGGAGGUACAAUGGGGUACAGUGUCUCUGGGAUCUCAUUCUCUACAUCAGGGAUCUUCCAGAGAAAAAGCAGCAGGAGAAUCUAUGGGAGCGACCUGCAACUUUCUUGCUGGCUUCCCCAUUGAUUUUGCUUGUGUGAAACCGACAAGGGGGACUGCAAAUGGUGAUCCUUAACCACAGGAUGCUGCAACCUUCACAAGUGCCCAAAUCACAAUGAUGUGACGGUGGAAGUGGAGCAACUGCUGGAACUUCAAGGAGUGGUCGUAAUAAAACAAGAUUAAAACAAGAUAUUUAAACUGGAAAGCAAUAGUUGCUGAAAUGUUCCCAUUUCUUUACCAUUUGAAUAUACCAAUCUACAACACCAAGUUUUCAGAAAAGGUAGAAGAAACUUUGAUUGGGAAGAGAUACAGGAAAGCCCCAAUGCAUGCAUGUCUGAAGAUUCAGGGUUUUUUUUAAUGUAUCCUUCAGAAGUACAUGAAAUCCAACCACAGUUCAAUCUACUAUCAAUAAACUGAACUGCACUUAA
Long non-coding RNA from Pantherophis guttatus, 543 nucleotides. RefSeq lists it as uncharacterized. The record is from RefSeq and is a predicted model, not a curated record. Lineage: Eukaryota; Metazoa; Chordata; Lepidosauria; Squamata; Colubridae.